CCUACGGGCGGCUGCAGUGAGGAAUAUUGGUCAAUGGGCGGGAGCCUGAACCAGCCAAGCCGCGUGAGGGAAGAAGGUACAGCGUAUCGUAAACCUCUUUUGUCAGGGAACAAAGGCGGGGACUAGUCCCCGGAUGAGGGUACCUGAAGAAAAAGCAUCGGCUAACUCCGUGCCAGCAGCCGCGGUAAUACGGAGGAUGCGAGCGUUAUCCGGAUUUAUGGGGUUUAAAGGGUGCGCAGGCGGCCUGUUAAGUCAGCGGUAAAAGCCCGGGGCUCAACCCCGGCGAGCCGUUGAAACUGGCGGGCUGGAGUUGGAGAGAAGUACGCGGAAUGCGCGGUGUAGCGGUGAAAUGCUUAGAUAUCGCGCAGAACCCCGAUUGCGAAGGCAGCGUACCGGCUCCACACUGACGCUGAGGCACGAAAGCGUGGGUAUCGAACAGGAUUAGAUACCCCUGUAGUC
Molecule: ribosomal RNA, 459 nt
Filed under: uncultured bacterium
Lineage: Bacteria
Description: partial 16S ribosomal RNA
Rfam family: Bacterial small subunit ribosomal RNA
Source: RNAcentral